UACGUAGGGGGCGAGCGUUGUCCGAAUUUACUGGGCGUAAAGCGCACGUAGGCGGCUUGUCAAGUCCGAUGUGAAAUCCCGGAGCUCAACUUCGGAACUGCAUUGGAAACUGGCAGGCUUGAGUGCAGGAGAGGAGAGUGGAAUUCCUGGUGUAGCGGUGAAAUGCGUAGAUAUCAGGAGGAACACCCGUGGCGAAGGCGGCUCUCUGGUCUGCAACUGACGCUGAGGUGCGAAAGCUAGGGGAG
Molecule: ribosomal RNA, 245 nt
Filed under: uncultured bacterium
Lineage: Bacteria
Description: partial 16S ribosomal RNA
Rfam family: Bacterial small subunit ribosomal RNA
Source: RNAcentral